Molecule: ribosomal RNA, 723 nt
Filed under: Hylarana macrodactyla
Lineage: Eukaryota; Metazoa; Chordata; Amphibia; Anura; Ranidae
Description: partial 12S ribosomal RNA
Rfam family: Bacterial small subunit ribosomal RNA (bases 1-483)
Source: RNAcentral
AUUCACAACAACCAGCGCCAGGAAAUUACGAGCAAUGCUUAAAACCCAAAGGACUUGACGGUGUUCCAACCCCCUAGAGGAGCCUGUUUUGUAAUCGAUGAUCCCCGCUAUACCCCACCAUUUCUAGCUCUUCAGUCUGUAUACCUCCGUCCUAAGCUUGCCAUAUGAACGUUCUUUAGCAGGCCCAAUGAACCCCCCCCCCAAUAUGUCAGGUCAAGGUGCAGCUCACGAAAUGGUAGCUAAUGGGCUACAAUUUCUAACCUAGAAUAUACGGAAUACUAUGUGAAAUCAUAGUCAUGAAGGCGGAUUUAGCAGUAAAAAGAAAAUAGAGAGUUCUUUUUAACUCGGUCCUGGAACGUGUACAAACCGCCCGUCACCCUCUUCGAUAAAAUUUCUUCCGUCUUUAACCCACUAUAAAACUUUAGAAGAGGCAAGUCGUAACAUGGUAAGUGUACUGCAAAGUGCACUUGGACUAUUACACAAUGUAGCUUAACCAAAGCCACUUGCUUACACCAAGUAAAUGUCCGUUCAACCCAGACCAUUUUGAGCCAAAAAUUUAGCCCACACAACACUGAUACUCUCUUAACCCACCCACCCUCAGACAAAACAUUCUUCUAUUUUAGUACAGGAGAUCAAAAAAUUACUAAGCGCUUCAAACACAGUACCGAAAGGGAAAAAUGAAAUAAAAAUGAAAUAAACCUCAAGCCCAAAAUAGCAGAGAUU